GCCUGGUUGGCUCAGUUGGUAGAGCGUGUGACUCUUGGUCACACGGUCAUGAGUUCAAGCCCCAUGUUGGGUG
This 73-nucleotide transfer RNA is filed under the name Ailuropoda melanoleuca (giant panda). It matches the Rfam family "tRNA". From Rfam's summary of the family: Transfer RNA (tRNA) molecules are approximately 80 nucleotides in length. Their secondary structure includes four short double-helical elements and three loops (D, anti-codon, and T loops). Lineage: Eukaryota; Metazoa; Chordata; Mammalia; Carnivora; Ursidae. The record is from Rfam by way of RNAcentral.